UGCCAGCAGCCGCGGUAAUACGAACCGUACGAACGUUAUUCGGAAUCACUGGGCUUAAAGAGUGCGUAGGCGGCUUAGCAAGUUGGGUGUGAAAUCCCUCGGCUCAACCGAGGAACUGCGCCCAAAACUGCUAGGCUUGAGGGAGGCAGAGGUGAGCGGAACUAAUGGUGGAGCGGUGAAAUGCGUUGAUAUCAUUAGGAACACCGGUGGCGAAGGCGGCUCACUGGGUCUCUUCUGACGCUGAGGCACGAAAGCUAGGGGAGCGAACGGGAUUAGAUA
This 279-nucleotide ribosomal RNA is filed under the name uncultured bacterium. RNAcentral describes it as "partial 16S ribosomal RNA". It matches the Rfam family "Bacterial small subunit ribosomal RNA", at positions 506 to 784 of the family's 1533-position model. The record is from RNAcentral.